UGGAGAGCAGCAAGGCUGGCUGGGAAUACCCACCCUGAGAGGGGUAACAUUGAAAAAUAGUGACCUGUGUUAUCACUACACAAAUUUGGGUGUUAAUUUAGGCUGAACCACAUUGUCACUGAUCCACCUGAAGCCUUGGAGUGGCUCCCUAGAACAGAGGCUAGACAAGAGUAAGAGAAUAAAAGCAGGUCUCUACAGGCUUUUGCUGUUUGAAGCAAGGUGUCAGUGAUUCUCCAAGGAAUUUCACCACAGAUUGUCCCAAAUCCAACAGAAGGGAUGGGAAUUGUUGAAUUGCAUGCCUUGGAUGGAACAGACAUUUUCAGAGGUUUAGCUGUAUUUAUAUUCAAUAAAAAAAGGGGAUAAGUUCAUUUAAAACCCCUAAAGCUGUGGGCAACCUUCAUCUCAAUUUAAUCUUGGGUUUGUUCAGGCUGAAAAAGUGGUUUAGGGUUAUGUGGCAGAACUUC
Passer domesticus (house sparrow) is the source of this 464-nucleotide long non-coding RNA. RefSeq lists it as uncharacterized. Lineage: Eukaryota; Metazoa; Chordata; Aves; Passeriformes; Passeridae. The transcript is spliced from 3 exons. The record is from RefSeq and is a predicted model, not a curated record.